GACGAACGCUGGCGGCGUGCUUAACACAUGCCAGUCGAACGAUGAAGAAAAGAAUCGAAGCUUCGGCAGAAAUUCAUUUCGGAUUAGUGGCAGACGGGUGAGUAACGCGUGAGCAACCUACCUCUUACAAAGGGAUAGCCUCGGGAAACCGGGAUUAAUACCAUAUAACAUUGCGACGAAGCAUUUCGAUGCAAUCAAAGCUAUGGCGGUAAGAGAUGGGCUCGCGUCCCAUUAACCGGAUGGUGAGGUAACGGCUCACCAUAGUGACGAUGGGUAACCGGCCUGAGAGGGUGAACGGUCACACUGGAACUGAGACACGGUCCAGACUCCUACGGGAGGGAGCAGUGGGGAAUAUUGCACAAUGGAGGGAACUCUGAUGCAGCGACGCCGCGUGAGUGAUGAAGGAAUUCGUUUCGUAAAACUCUGUUCUAUGGGAAGAAAAGGACUGUACCAUAGGAGAAAGCUCCGGCUAAAUACGUG
Molecule: ribosomal RNA, 480 nt
Filed under: uncultured bacterium
Lineage: Bacteria
Description: partial 16S ribosomal RNA
Rfam family: Bacterial small subunit ribosomal RNA
Source: RNAcentral